This 227-nucleotide long non-coding RNA is filed under the name Nicotiana benthamiana. RNAcentral's name for it is "long non-coding RNA (NBEN_LNC004307)". Lineage: Eukaryota; Viridiplantae; Streptophyta; Magnoliopsida; Solanales; Solanaceae. The record is from RNAcentral.
GAAGGUGUACUUCAGUGAAUCCCAUAACACUAAUUAACUGCUCUCUAGUAUGUUGUUGUACCCCAGCCAAGUAAAUAGCACUCUUGCUAAUAUUUUCCUGAAGACCAGAGGCUGCUGAGAACUGAGCAAAAGUGUUAUGCAGGAUUUGAAUAGACAUUUCAUCAGCUCUGCAGAACAUAAGCAAGUCAUCAGCAAAACAUACAUGAGAAAUAUUAAGCUUCCUGCAC